GUUGUUUGUUUGAUGCAUGGGGUAGAAGAGAGAGAAAAGAAGAAAAAAGAGGAGGAGGAGGAGGAUAUCAGUCAGUGUUUGCUGGUGUAGCAUCAUCAAGAUUCACAUCUUGUAAGAGAUCCCUUUGAAUCGGUGGGAUCACACUUCACUACAUAAGAUCACGAUUUAGAGAGGGAAAGCUGACCAUAAGAUGGGAAUCUUGAUGAUGCUGCAUCGGCAAUAAGUGACUUUGUGUUUCACCGUUCGUUGCCACCCUCAUUUGCACUCUCCUCGGCAAAGGUGAGAGAAACAGAGGAC
Molecule: microRNA precursor, 297 nt
Filed under: Amborella trichopoda
Lineage: Eukaryota; Viridiplantae; Streptophyta; Magnoliopsida; Amborellales; Amborellaceae
Description: miR172 stem-loop (atr-MIR172)
Gene: atr-MIR172
Rfam family: mir-172 microRNA precursor family (bases 75-224)
About the family: mir-172 has been experimentally verified in Arabidopsis thaliana. This family is thought to target mRNAs coding for APETALA2-like transcription factors.
Source: miRBase by way of RNAcentral